CCUGGUGGCUCAGAGGUUAAAGCACCUGCCUGCAAUGCAGAAGACCUGGGUUUGACCCCUGAGUCAGGA
This is a non-coding RNA of Bos taurus (domestic cattle), 69 nucleotides long. NCBI's taxonomy places the organism in Eukaryota, Metazoa, Chordata, Mammalia, Artiodactyla, Bovidae. The record is from Rfam.